CAGGAGGGUUGGAGAAAGUGAGAAAGGGCCCGAAAGCGUCAAGGGGCUGGAGCAAAUUGCUCGUGAGGAAGACGGUGCCUGUACAGAGAAAGGGGGCAGGGAGAGCUGUUGUCUCUCUCCUGAUAACAGACUCCAGGCCCGAUCCAGCUGGGCUUUUCUGAUGCUCGCCCUCGCCUGUUCCCGUCUCCCUCAUCCGGCCUGGGCAAAGCUCAUAGAUGAUGGGAUCUGUAGUCUGGCAACAUCUGGCGGGCCGCAGGCUUCCCUCCCAUCCCCUAAAUGGGGCUCCAGGAAAAGGUAUUUCUGUGCGCCGGAGUCAGUCCGCUCGCUUCUCCUGAGAAAUGCUUGGAAUGCCAGCACGUGCUCCGGUGGGGAUCUCUUGCAUCCCUCGGCGUCAUCCCGGAUUCCUGACCCCCGGCAGCCAUAAAUGGGCUUGUGCAAUGCGUCCCCAUAGGAGAAGAAUGUCAGGAACGAAACAGGCAGGGCUUUGGCACAGCGGAACAGCCUGACGCAAGCCAGAUGUGCAACAGGGGAACUGCUUGCAGAGAGCUUCUGACUAAUCCUGAGUCAGCAGGGCCUUGUUUGGGCUGAACAGGUGACUCAUCGCAACAGUUCUGAGGAAACAGAACAAGAUCCAAACUGCUCCAGCGUGGAAAAAUCCCUGCUGAAUCACAAGCCCCUUAGACGGGAUUAUGUCGGGGCUGGGGAACAAUAGCCGCCUCUUCGCCCUGCGAGGGGCUGGCGUCUCUCCGGCCCGGUGCGCGAGCGCAUGCGCCGGGAUCUCCUGGCAAGCCCGGCAGCGCCUUCUGCAUUCCAGCCCGGCACACUGCCACAGCUUGCAGGAAGCAGCGAGAGGGAAUCUUGGCCUUCCGCAAACUGGUGCUCUGCAGACGUUCCCAGCAUUCCCAGCCAUAUGGCCAGCGGCUGGAAUGAUGGGAGUGGUGAUUCAACAGAUCUGAACGAUAGCUUGUCCUCCUUUUGCUUUCUGUGCCAUACACACCUGGGAGCGCAGGUAAGGACGAGGCAUUGCCUAUUUUGCCUUCCUGGGGCCGUCUGACCUCCCACAGAAAUAGAUCACCUGCACUUACCAAUAAUCUUUUGCCAGGAGAUGUCGCCUCAGCCGAUCUCUCUGCUCAGGGAAAUUCUGAAGUCUAGAAUCACAGCUCAAAAGCGCUUCUCGGAAGUCAUUCAGGCGAGCUCCAAACCUUGAGCACAACGCUCCUUUCGGAAAAGGGACGGCCUCGCAGCCUCUAUACCAGUCCAGCCACAAACCAGCACCUGCCCCUGGAAAAUGCAUAUCGUGACCUGGGAGAACAUGCUGGCUUGAGAAGCAGGGUUCCUGCUUUACAAAGAACAUCCCUCUUUCAAGGGCUGCCCAGGCCAGGUCUGGCCAUGCACGUGGUGGGCAUGUCGUGAGCGGAGCCGGCUGGUGCCAGAGGUCAGACUAGAUGGCCUGGGGGACCCCUUCUGACUCACUCUGUUUCUGUGUUUCUAUGGCGUAACGAUGAUGACUCUGAAGAAGGGAGUUCUGCAGGGGCCUUGAGGUUGCCCUACAACAAGUAACAGCACCUGGGGAGCGGGCUGACAGGCACAAAAGGUCCCCAGGUCUCAGCUUUCCACACCUUGGUGAGAUGUAUGACUACCUCAGGGACUUGAAAGAAUCUUGCAGCACCUGAAAGAUUAAAAGCACAAUCCCAUGUGUAUUUGGACAAAAAUCUA
Molecule: long non-coding RNA, 1716 nt
Organism: Varanus komodoensis (Komodo dragon)
Lineage: Eukaryota; Metazoa; Chordata; Lepidosauria; Squamata; Varanidae
Exons: 2
Source: RefSeq, a predicted model, not a curated record